Mirounga angustirostris (Northern elephant seal) is the source of this 5446-nucleotide RNA transcript. It is a transcript of the gene named transmembrane channel like 6, with no coding region annotated. The transcript is spliced from 18 exons. The record is from RefSeq and is a predicted model, not a curated record. NCBI's taxonomy places the organism in Eukaryota, Metazoa, Chordata, Mammalia, Carnivora, Phocidae.
UUCCUGUGAGAGGAAGUGCUCUGGGGUUACAGGGCCGGCACAGGAAGGUCUGGGAGCUUGCCCUGAACUUCUUCACCAGGAGGGCGGUGGAUACCUGGGGCUGUGCCCACGGACACCCACCCCCUUCCGCCUUCCCAGGGACUGGCGCCAUAGAGGAAACCGAUGGGGACUGCUCAGAACCCCCUUCUUCCUGCCGCUCUCCCUCAAGCAGUGGAAGGGACUCCCUCUUGGUCCAUUCUGGCAUGAGGCUUAUUUGGGGCCACUAACCUGACCACGUGUUUGGCAGUGGAUGGGGGCAGGCAGGGGCUCAGGCGGCCUAGGCUGUGGGCACCCCCCACGGCCCCAGGGAAUGGGUAGUUUGGCGGGGCACCAGGCACCGAGGGCCAACCUUGGUACACCACUCCCUGUCUCAUCAGAUGGGCAGCGGGAGGCUUUGGAGGCUGCGCCGGGGCUCUGAGCUGCUCUAGGUUUGCACACCGGCUGGGCGUGGGUCACAGACAUGGCCCAGCCGCUGAACUUUGUCCUCAAUGUUCCCGAGACCCCAGAGGACCACAGCAGCCAGGAGCCCAGCCCGUAUGAUGAGAGUGAAGUCCAUGACUCCUUCCACCAGCUCAUCCAGGAGCAGAGCCAGUGGGUGGCUGAGGAGGGGCUGGAGCUGCAGCAGAGGGAGCCGGGGGCUGGAGGCCCGGAGACCUCAGGCUGUGGCCAGCACGCCCUGCCGGGGCCCGAGGAUGCGCUUGCGCACAGCGCAGCCACGCUCCGCAUCUUGGCCAGCAUGCCCAGUCGCACUAUCGGCCGGAGCCGCGGUGCCGUCAUCUGCCAGUGCUACAACCGCUCGGUGCAGCUGCGGCGCAGGGUCAGCCGGCCGGAGCUCAAGGGCGUGGGGCGCUCGGCGCGGCCCAGCCUCCGCCUCUACGACCUGGAGCUGGACCCCGCGGCCCUGCAGGAGGAGGAGAAGCGCUCCCUCCUGGUGAAGGAGCUGGAGGGCCUGCCGGUGGCCCAGCGGAACCACAUGCUCCGGGGAAUGCCCUUGGGCCUGGCCGAGAAACGCUGCCUGCGAGAGGAGACCCAGACCCCGACGGAGAAGCAGAGGGGCCGGCAGGGCCCGCAUGGGCUCUUCCCCUGCUGCGGCCGGCUCCGAGAUGCCUGCGUCCUGGCCCUGCACAGCCUGGGGCUCGGGCUGCUCGGGCGUCUGCACGCCCUGAGGCCGUGGCGCUACGCCCUGAAGCAGAUCGGAGGCCAGUUCGGCUCCAGCGUGCUCUCCUACUUCCUCUUCCUCAAGACCCUGCUGGCCUUCAACGCCCUCCUGCUGCCGCCGCUGCUGGCCUUCAUCGUGGGCGUGCAGGCGGCCUUCCCGCCGCCAGCGCCCCCGGGCUCUGUCCCCAGCUUCACGGGCCUGGAGCUGCUCACCGGCGGGGGCCGCUUCACCCACACUGUCCUGUAUUACGGCUACUACAGUAACAGCACAAUGAGCCAGCCGUGUGUGCCCCCCCCGGGGGGUGGUCAGUGCAGCCGCGAGGCCGACAGCCUGCCCUACAGCAUGCCCUUGGCCUACCUUUUCACUGUGGGCCUAGCCUUCUUUAUCACCUGCAUCACCCUGGUGUACAGCAUGUCCCACUCUUUCGGGGAGAGCUACCGGGUGGGCAGCACCUCAGGGGUUCAUGCCGUCACCGUUUUCUGCUCCUGGGACCAUAAGGUGACCCAGAGACGGGCCUCCCGCCUCCAGCACGACAACAUCCGAACCCAUCUGAAGGAGCUGUUAGCCGAGUGGCAGCGACGGCGGGGCUCCCGGAGCGCGUGCGGGCGGCUGCGGCGGGUGGCCGUGCGGGGGCUCGUGUGGCUGCUGUCCCUGGGGACCACGCUGGGCUGCACCGUGGCCGUCUACGCCUUCUCCGAGCUCAUGAUCAAGAGCCCGGUGUCUGUCGAGCAGGAGGGGGCGCUGCUGGCCCUGCCCGUGGUGGUCUGCCUCCUCAACCUGGGGGCCCCCUACCUGUUCCGCUGCCUGGCGGCCCUGGAGCGGUACGACUCGCCGGUGCUGGAGGUGUACGUGGCCGUCUGCAGGAACCUCAUCCUCAAGAUGGUCAUCCUGGGCAUUCUUUGCUACCACUGGCUGGGCCGCAGGGUGGGCACCCUGAAGGACCAGUGCUGGGAGAACUUUGUGGGCCAGGAGCUGUAUCGGCUCAUGGUGCUGGACUUCAUCUUCGUGCUGCUGGACACGCUGUUCGGGGAGCUGGUGUGGAGGCUCAUCUCUGAGAAGCAGCUUAAGAGGAGGGAGAAACCGGAGUUCGACAUUGCCGGGAACGUUCUGCAGCUGAUUUAUGGGCAGACCCUGACCUGGCUGGGGGUCCUCUUCUCUCCUCUCCUCCCUGCCAUCCAGAUCGUCAAGCUGCUGCUCAUCUUCUAUGUCAAGAAGGCUCACAUUCUGAGUGUCCGCUCCCUGGGGGCGGGGAGCCCAUCCCGGCCUGGGGUGUCGCCCAGGGCCCCCCCCCCCCGAAGCUGUGGCCGUGGCGGAUCUCAGCCUUUGUCCCCAGACCAGCCUGAGGGCCAACUGCCAGGCGCCCCGCCGGCCCUGGCUGGCUUCACACAUGAGCACCGUCUUCAUCUCCUUGCUCUGCUUCCCCUCCUUCCUGGGAGCCGCUGUCUUCCUCUGCUUCGCUGUGUGGCGGGUGAAGCCCUCGAGCACCUGCGGCCCGUUCCGGAGCCUGAACAGCAUGUACGAGGCGGGCAAGGUGUGGGUGCGCCAUCUGGAGGAGGCGGGCCCCAGGGUCUCCUGGCUACCCUGGGUCCACCGGUACCUGGUGGAGAACACCUUCCCCGUCUACCUGGUGUCGGCCCUGCUGCUGUGAGUGCGGGCAGGCGGGCCCCGCAGGAGGACCGGCCCGGGUGGAGGCCCCAGCCUGUCGGUGCCCUGGGCUCCAGCGCGGAGCCCCUCCCGACCGCGUGGCUCCCCAUGCUGCAGGGCGGUGAUCUACCUCCACAUCCAGGUGGUGAAGGGCCAGCGGAGGGUCAUCUGCCUCCUCAAGGAGCAGAUCAGCAACGUGAGUGCCCUGCCGCCCCCGGCCCGGCCGCGAGAGGCUCUGUUUGCCCCACAAAUGACACCCGGCCCUGCGGGGGGCUGUACGAAGCGGAGCGGGGAGUGAGGCAGCGGCCGCCCUGGAGCGCCCUCGGGGACAGGGCUCCCGCCCUGGGGGGGGGUGGAUCGCGGCUCCGGCAGAGAAAGGCGGCAUUUUCGGGCGGGCGGCCCCGCGGGGCUACGGUCUCUGUGAGGGUCUUGGAGGUACUGGAAAUAGCCCUUGGACUUCUUGGGGGACCCGCGUCAGGACAUGGACCCUGUUCAUUGCCCUCAUUUUCCAAACAAGUGGAGUAAGUUAAACGCGAGCCCGGGUUUUCGUCCUUUGUAUUAAGCACGUUUGGUUUGUCGUAAGUGUGAGAGGCAGGGUGGGCUGAGACGCCCGGGGGCGGCUCCUUCCUGGGACCCCCACUGCACCGUCGGCCCCUGGGGAUCCGCCGGCCCCGAGCUGCUCAAGCCCACCCCAGAGGCGGCCCAGCCCGGCCCCGUGGACCGUCCCUCCCUGCUCGGCUGCUAGGCCUCGCGUCCGGUUAAAAGCCAGCGACCACGGACUCUGGAUCACUCGGGCUGGCAUUUUCCCAGCCGGGGGGCGCGUCCUGCCGGGGUCUGCUCAGCCGGACCUGCCAGCGACGGCGGGUCCCCGCAUAGACGCUGGGUGGGCUCGGACCUCGCCGUCACUCUCCCCGCGGCCGUUCCCCUUCUGCAGAUUCUCACUGUCCCCUGGACGCUUGGGCCACUCUGAGGCCACUGUGCCGGUGGCCUGGCGUUCACACGGGGCCGGGGGUUGCGCCUCCUCCGGGUGUGUGCUGGGGGCCACCUGGGACGCUGCCUUAGGAGGACUCGGGGGUCAGGCGCGGGGUGUCAGCCAUGGCAGGCCAGGGCUGGGGUGCAGUAGGCAUGGGCCCCUCCUGCUGGCUUACUGAUGCAGGGCCUGGGCCCCAAGCGGGAAGGUCCCUUAGGGACAGCGCCCACUUCUUAGGGGGUUCAAGUAACACAAUGGGAGGCCCCCGUCCCCUUCCCUUAUACACACGGGCGUCUUGGCGCGCCCACAGGGAGCACGGCGUAAGGCCAGGCAUUCUGGCUGAGGCGGUCACCUGGCCACAGCUGGCGGAAGCAGGUCUUUGCCAGCUGGCUCCCGCCUGCCCUACUGUGUAGUGCACCAAGCCCUGCGGAUACCUUCGGGGUCCCGGGGGUGGAGGUGGGGCUGGUAGAUGCACAGCAGCGUCGGGAGGAGGAUCCCAGCUCCACCUGCUAGUUCUCUGGGAGCGGAAAGGCCCUCCGGGCAGGCCCUUGCUGCAGACUGUGUCCGCCCCCCGCCAAGGCUGAGCCCUGCCCCGGUUGCAAGGCUUUGGGGCUGCAGGUCUGAGCUUGGCUAGGCCCCUGGAACUGCUUUUCCCGGGCCUGGGCAGGGGGGCUUACUCAAGGGCACGGCCCUCUGCACCCACCGGCACAGAUGGAAGCAGCCUCGAGCCAAGGGCUGUGGGCAGAUUCCAGAAGCUGGAGAAAGGAAGGAAGGAUGCUCCCCAAGAGUCUCCAGAAGGAACCAGUUUGGCUGACACCUUGAUCCUAGGCCCAGUGAGAGCCGUUUUGGACUUCUGACCUCCAGAACUGAAAGAUGAAUUUGUGUUGUCUUAAGCUGCCAAGUUGGUGGUAAUUAGAACGACAGUGGAAGCUCACACAAGCUCCGUGCGGCAGACACCCUUAUCUCCCGCUUACAGAUGCUGACUCUGAGGUCGGAGAGGAUGUAAUUCGCCCAACACGGAGUCCGUGGGCGGCGGGGCCAGUUUUAAAUUAAGUCAGGCUGGCUCUGUGGCCUUCACUGUGCCCCUGAUCACAUUUUCUUUUUCGUCUUGGCCACUAGGAAGCUUAGAUUGAUCGAUCUACAUAUAUGCCCGUUGCCUGGCUCUUGGUUUUUCCGUCCUCGUUUGGUGCCUCUUCUCCCUUUAAACUUUUUGUGCUUGUCUCAUGGAAUAGUCUGUUCUGGACAAACAGACGGAUGGACAACUGUCCCCUCACCCUUUGUGUUCUGGCCUUUUUAGGAGGGGGAAGACAAAGUCUUUUUGAUCAACAAGCUUCACUCCGUCUAUGAGAGGAGAGAGAGGAGCAGGGCUGGUAGAACCCAGGAGGCUGAGAGGCUCACGGAUGAUCCGGACGCCUGGUAGGACAGCGACAGGCCUUGCAGCUCUGCGUCUGCUCACAGGUGCGCCCUGUGCUGGGGUCGUUCUCUGUUUCCGCGGCCCCGUGGGCACUGACGCCCGCCCGGACUCUGCAGCCCAUGAGGGCUGGAACUGGAGGGUGGGCGAGUGGGGGGGCACGCCCAGUGGACUGUAUCCUGCUUGGGACUCUAUUUAUUCUGAUAAAACAUGUUUUGCAAAA